Long non-coding RNA from Syngnathoides biaculeatus (alligator pipefish), 1584 nucleotides. RefSeq lists it as uncharacterized. NCBI's taxonomy places the organism in Eukaryota, Metazoa, Chordata, Actinopteri, Syngnathiformes, Syngnathidae. The record is from RefSeq and is a predicted model, not a curated record. The transcript has 3 exons.
CCUUACUUUUGUCAUUUCCGACCAUUGUGCUCCCGAUUCAAGUAAGUCCUGGAGCGUCUGCCACAAUCACUACUGCUCCCUGUACUGGCCAACCAAGGUCUCACUUUUGAGCAGGGAGCAAUUCAAUUUCCACAAACCCCUCCAAAACGUCACACCAGUGAGGAUUUGUAAAGUGCAGGAUAAAAUCAGGCAUUAAAGUUGCACCCGCAGAUGAGCAGUCCCGUGUUAAAAUAUAAUCUAUUCGAGGGGCUUUCGAGUUGUCUCCACUGAACCAGACAUUCCAAUGAGCCCGGCUGGAAAACUGACAGCCAAUCAGCAUUUGCCACGCCUGCAGUGCUUCCUGUUCUGACCCCCCAUUGCUCGGUGCCCAGAUAAAUGCAGAGAUUUGCUUCUGGAAAGACAUCCGGGAUAAAACUGUGGCAAACAAAUAUGAGUGUUCAUCAAAAGAAUACCAUACCCGAUCAGUCGUGGCCCGGGUAAACUACGCCCGUACCCGGCACCGUGAUCCUGCAGGGCGUCGGUGGAAAUUCAGCGACGGUGGGUCGAAGACAGAAGAAGAGGAUGCAUGCUCCUCCUCAAGGACUGCUGGGAUUGGCUCCUGCGCUUUCUCAACCCUCAUCAGGAUACCGUAAGUGCCUCAGAGAAUGGAUGGAUGAAUGGAUGUUUAUUUGACCAUCAAUUAAUGAAAGAGUGUAUUUGGCAUUCUGAAUAAACAAUGUCAUCUUAGGGUUGCCAUCAUCACAUGGCAUAGCAUCAUAACUUUGAGUUGUUGUUGUUGUUGCUGCACAGCAACAACCAUUCCAUUCAUCAGGCAAAAAUAUAUCUGCCUUAUCCCCACAGACCCACCAAAUAGCUUUGAAAUUUCCCAAAGUAAUGAUUCCUACUAAUGUAAGAUGUGUUACCUGCAAUGUCACACGCUGGCAAGUCAAUCCAUCCAUUUUCUUUGCCACUUAUCCUCACGAGGGUAGCGGGGGGUGCUGGGGCCUAUCCCAGCUGUCAACGGGCAGGGGGCAGGAUACACACAGAACUGGUUGCCAGCCAAUCGCAGGGCACAUCGAGACAAACAACAGUCGCACUCACAAUCACACCGACGGGACAAUUUAGAGUCUCCAAUUAUUGUUAUUGGGACGUGGGAGGAAACUCACGCAGGCACCAGUCCACCUUGACGUCAGAGGCUCCGCCCCCAAAAGGAGUCGUUUUUCAGGUGGUGGAAACUCGGUCAAAGUUCACUGCCUUUAAUUAAAAAACACAUCGAACAGGAUACAUAUUUUAUGGUACAGUUUAACAUAUAUUUUCAUCUAGAUAAAAUCAUUUGCAUUCGAAAUUAUGCAGUACAAUCUCUUUGAAGUGGUACGCACACUGACGCGUGCACUGGGUUGGUUAAAUCAGCGCAAUGCAUGCUCCGAUGGACAGGUGUUGCCGGACACAUCGCUACCUGGAAGUGUGUGCAGGCACUCACACAAGACAUUGGAAUUCCCUGAAUAAACACACGUCUGACAUUUUUUUCCAGUAACAAAGGGGGUCUCUUUCUCCAGUCCCUCGCCACUUGGACAAAGUUCUGGCACUCAGGGUCAUUCAAGCAGC